UGAACGCUGGCGGCGUGCCUAACACAUGCACGUCGACCGGAGUCCAGCCUUUAAGACCUUCGGGUCAAAGAGGGGAAGACUGAGUGGCGGACGGGUGAGUAACACGUGGGCAACCUGGCUCAUAGAGGGGGAUAACAGAGAGAAAUUUCUGCUAAUACCGCAUAAGCACACACUGCCGCAUGGCAGAGGGUGAAAAGAGAAUCGCUAUGAGAUGGACCCGCGUCUGAUUAGCCAGUUGGCAGGGUAAGAGCCUACCAAAGCGACGAUCAGUAGCCGAUCUGAGAGGAUGAACGGCCACAUUGGGACUGAGACACGGCCCAAACUCCUACGGGAGGCAGCAGUGGGGGAUAUUGCACAAUGGGGGGAACCGUGAUGCAGCGACGCCGCGUGAGUGAAGAAGUAUUUCGGUAUGUAAAGCUCUAUCAGCAGGGAAGAUAAUGACAGUACCUGAAUAAGAAGCCCCGGCUAACUACGUG
This 476-nucleotide ribosomal RNA is filed under the name uncultured bacterium. RNAcentral's name for it is "partial 16S ribosomal RNA". It matches the Rfam family "Bacterial small subunit ribosomal RNA", at positions 30 to 507 of the family's 1533-position model. The record is from RNAcentral.